Molecule: ribosomal RNA, 744 nt
Filed under: uncultured Pseudomonadota bacterium
Lineage: Bacteria; Pseudomonadati; Pseudomonadota
Description: bacterial SSU rRNA
Rfam family: Bacterial small subunit ribosomal RNA
Source: RNAcentral
AGUCGAACGCGAAAGCCCCUUCGGGGGCAAGUAGAGUGGCGCACGGGUGAGUAACACGUAGGUAAUCUACCUUCGGAUGGGGAAUAACAACCGGAAACGGUUGCUAAUACCGCAUAAUGCAGCGGCACCUAAUGGUGACAGUUGUUAAAGCGGGGGAUCGCAAGACCUCGCGUCUGAAGAGGAGCCUGCGGCGGAUUAGCUAGUUGGUAGGGUAACGGCCUACCAAGGCGACGAUCCGUAGCCGGCCUGAGAGGGCGGUCGGCCACACUGACACUGACAUACAGGUCAGACUCCUACGGGAGGCAGCAGUCGGGAAUUUUGGGCAAUGGGCGAAAGCCUGACCCAGCAACGCCGCGUGAAGGAUGAAAUCCCUCGGGAUGUAAACUUCGCAAGAACGGGAAGAAUAAGUCUGCGCGAACAUCGCAGGCGAUGACGGUACCGUUUGUAAGCUCCGGCUAACUCCGUGCCAGCAGCCGCGGUAAUACGGGGGGAGCAAGCGUUGUUCGGAUUUACUGGGCGUAAAGGGCGCGUAGGCGGCCACUGCGAGUCAAUUGUGAAAUCUCCGGGCUUAACUCGGAAAGGUCAACUGAUACUGCAGGGCUAGAGUGCGGAAGGGGCAACUGGAAUUCUCGGUGUAGCGGUGAAAUGCGUAGAUAUCGAGAGGAACACCUGCGGCGAAGGCGGGUUGCUGGGCCGACACUGACGCUGAGUGCGCGAAAGCUAGGGGAGCGAACGGGAUUAGAU